Molecule: long non-coding RNA, 7144 nt
Filed under: Lactuca sativa (garden lettuce)
Lineage: Eukaryota; Viridiplantae; Streptophyta; Magnoliopsida; Asterales; Asteraceae
Description: long non-coding RNA (LSAT_LNC009863)
Source: RNAcentral
ACAACCGCACACUCUUAACCACACACUUAACUUCACACUCUUAACCGUACAUGUAACACCGUAAAAUUUCAAACAAAUUUUCACAUUUUAAAAACAAUUUAUUCCAGAAUAUUAUAAAACUCAUUAUUUCAUGUAUCCAAACAUAAGUCAAAAUCCCAAGAUCAUAACAUAUAUAAAACUCCGCGUGUGUGUGUACCGAUCAUGCCGGCGCCUUCCCACGAUCCUCACUAGUACCUAAAACACAUAACACAAAACACUGUAAGCACGAAGCUUAGUGAGUUCCCCAAAAUACCACACAUAACACAUAUUAGCCACUCGAGGCUAUAACUCUGUGGGUCCGUGGACCCUNUGGGCCCUUGGGCCCUAACUCUGUGGACCCUCUAGUCCUAGCUCUGUGGACCUUCCGCUCCUAACUCUGAUAUACACACAACAUAAAUCACAUAGAAAUAAUGCAGUGCCACACAUCACAUAGAUAGCAUACAAUAACUCUGUCACAUAACUCUAGUUAUCACUCAAGGUAAAGUAUAGAGAGAAGACUCACCUCAGAUAUCUCGGAUAAUAUCUCGCUCGCGUAUAUACUGAUCUAGUCGUUGCCUAAAACAUAAACAACUGUCUCAAUUAAUAACAGCUCUCCAGGCUAGACUAGACUCUCACAUGUCCUCUAAGAAGGCUAAAAGACCAUUUUACCCUUCAAACAGUCCACUAGUCCAAUUGUUGACCAAACCCUAAAAGUCAACAAAAGUCAACGGUCAAACUUUGACCAGACUCGUCGAGUGCACGAAUGUGACUCGGCGAGUCUAUACGUGUCCUUCAUAAUCCUGACACUUACUUGACUCACUGAGUCAACCCUCCACUCUUCAAAUCGUCCCUGAUCGUGAAUCGCGGGACAACCCGUCCUAACUCGUCGAGUCCGGCUCUUGACUCGGCGAGUUCAGUCGUGAACUCAAGUCCUCUAAAUCCCCUCUGACUCAACGAGUCAUUCCCUCAACUCGGCGAGUCAUCAACGUUGUGAUCCACAGGGAAAACCCGCUCCUACUCGUCGAGUCUGUUCCUGGACUCGACAAGUUCAUGCCAUGCUAGACUCAAAAGACCUCCUGAGGUCAGAUCUGUUCCUCUAAUCCUUAGAUCUAACCUUCCCAAGCUCAAUAAUCACGUAAAGUCUCUAUCUUGAUGCACAUGCAACAUCUAUAUGACCAUAUAUGAUGAUUUAGCCCCAAAUACCUCAACCCAAGGUCCUAACCUCCAUUGUUCUUUAUAAAGCUUGAUGAGUAAGGCUCCCUGGACCUCUAUGGAUCUAGAUCCAAAGCCUCAUCACCAUAAAGGACUAUUUGGACAUCAAUUCAACCCAACAAAGGGCAUAUGAAACCCUAAAUCCAUAUAUACUUCAUAAAUCAGAAGAUGAAUCGAAAUGGUACCUCAAAUGUGAUGAUCUUAGCUUCAAAUCCACAGAAUAGCAACCUUCUUUGCUUCCUCUUGGCUAGGACCUCCUUCUUCUUGCUAAACAACACCACAAAGGUCAAGAAUGGCUUCCUUUCUCUGUCAAAACGUUCAAGCACUCUAGGGUUUCUCUCUAUGAACUGGUAGCCGCAAAUGAAGGCCAUAAGGGCCUUUAAAUAGGUCCCAAACCCGAGAAAUUAGGUUUUCUUUCAUCAGCUUUGACUCGGCGAGUCUCUCCCCUGACUCGUCGAGUCCCCUCAUUAACCACGUCAUCCAGUCGCGACCAGACUCGACGAGUCUAAGCACCAACUCGUCGAGUCACCUUACAUAAUUAAAGAAAUACAACAUAAAUUAAUAUACCUGGAAACAGGAUGUUACAGUAGACCCCAACUAAAAUCAGACUUCGUCCUCGAAGUCUCACUCAGCAAAUAACUUUGGAUACUGCUCACGCAUCUCUAACUCCGGCUCCCAAGUCGGCUUGAACCCCUUCCGAUGUUGCCACUGGACCUGAACUAAUGACACCUCCUUGUUCCGCAAAAUCUUGAUCCUCCUAUCCCAAAUCGCGAUCGGCCUCUCAACAUAGUUAAGGCUCGCAUCCACCUGAAUAUCCUCUAAUGGCACCACUGCCGACUCAUCGGCCAUACACUUCCUCAGCUGCGAUACGUGGAAGGUGUCAUGAAUCUGACCCAACUCGGCAGGNNNNNNNNNNNNNNNNNNNNNNNNNNNNNNNNNNNNNNNNNNNNNNNNNNNNNNNNNNNNNNNNNNNNNNNNNNNNNNNNNNNNNNNNNNNNNNNNNNNNNNNNNNNNNNNNNNNNNNNNNNNNNNNNNNNNNNNNNNNNNNNNNNNNNNCUCUUCUGACGGCUCUGGGCCGUCAGCAACCUCUGUCUGACUUGCUGAAUCUGCUCGGUCGUCUGAAGCACUAUCUCCGUGCUGCCCAUCACAUGCUGCCCGACCUCACCCCAUCAAAUGGGAGUCUGACACUUCCUCCCAUACAACAGCUCAAAGGGUGGCAUACCGAUGCACGAAUGAUGGCUGUUGUUAUAAGAAAACUCAGCCAGGGGUAAAUACGUGUCCCAACUCCCUCCGAAAUCUAAUACACAUGACCGAAGCAUGUCCUCGAGCGUCUGAAUCAUCCGCUCGCUCUGCCUGUCAGUCUGUGGGUGGUAGGCGGUACUAAAAUGCAACCUCGUGCCCAGCUCCUCAUGGAAUUUCUUCUAGAAUCUGGAAGUGAAACGUACAUCUCGAUCAAAGAAAAUCGAGAUCGGUACUCCGUGCCGCGAUACCAAUCACCCAUCAAGAUGGUACACGUUUCGCCCACAAACGGUACCCAAACCCGACCCUGAAAGGUCAUAAGUCCUCGACUAUCGGUAACGAACUCCGAUACCUUCCCGAUCACUCGCUCUCUUCUGCGGUUCUCCGGUCUCCCGGCCUCCACCUGGGCCCCUCGAAUGGUGUCCCACACCAGAGUCAUCACUGUCAGUAUCAUGCAAACAUCUCUCAUCGGGGCGCCCUCCGCCCUACGGCUCAGGGCAUCGGCUACAACAUUAGCCUUGCCUGGGUGGUACAGGAUCUCGCAGUCGUAAUCCUUUACCACAUCCAACCAUCUCCUCUGGCACAUAUUCAGGUUGGGCUGAUCCAUCGGGUACUUCAAGCUCUUGUGGUCCGUUUAUAUGGUACACCGAACCCCAUACAGAUAGUGACGCCAGAUCUUGAGGGCAAACACCACUGCCCCCAACUCCAGAUCGUGGGUGGGAUACCUUGACUCAUGAGGUUUCAGCUGCCUCGAUGCAUAUGCUAUCACAUGCCCCCUCUGCAUAAGCACCGCUCCCAACCCUAAUAUCGACGCGUCGCAACACACUACGAAGUCCUCCAUCCCCUCCGGAAGGGCUAACACUGGGGCUUCGCAUAGUCUCUGGCGAAGUGUCUCGAAGGAGGCCUGUUGCUCUGGGCCCCAUGAAAAAGCAACACCCUUCCGGGUCAACUUGGUGAGUGGCACGGCGAUCUUGGAGAAAUCCCUGAUAAAUCUCCUAUAAUAGCCAGCCAACCCUAGGAAACUCCUGAUCUCGGUGGGGGAUCUCGGCACCUCCCAACUCAUCACUACCUCAAUUUUGGCCGAAUCGGCCAAUAUCCCAUUUUGGUUAACGAGGUGCCCCAUGAACUGAACCUAUCGUAACCAGAAAUCACACUUGGAGAAUUUGGCGUAAAGCCUCUCCGACCUCAUAACUCCAAGGAUCUCCCUCAAAUGCUCCUCAUGCUGCUCUCUGGAUUUCGAAUACACCAAUAUAUCGUCGAUGAACACGAUCACAGAGCGAUCCAACAUCGGUCUGCACACUCUGUUCAUGAGAUCCAUGAACGCCGCCGGUGCAUUGGUGAGCCCAAAAGGCAUCACCACGAACUCGUAAUGCCCGUAACGAGUUCUAAACGUCGUCUUUUGGAUAUCCUCAUCUCGCACCCUCAUCUGAUGAUAUCCAGACCUCAAAUCGAUCUUAGAGAACCAAGAUGCUCUCUAUAACUGAUUGAACAAAUCGUCGAUCCUCGGCAACGGGUAACGAUUCUUGACCGUCAACUUGUUCAACUCUCGGUAAUCAAUACACAUCCGGUGUGAACCAUCCUUUUUCUUGACAAAGAGGAUAGGCUCUCCCCACGGCGAGCUGCUCGGUUGAAUAAACCCCUUCCCCAGCAGCUCCUGAAGCUGCAAGGAUAACUCCUGCAUCUCAGGUGGUGCAAGGCGAUAGGGCGCCUUGGCGAUAGGUGCUACCCACGGAACCAAAUCGAUAUGAAACUCUACCUGCCUCUCAGGAGGCACGCCCGACAACUCCUCCAGGAAAAAAUUCGGGAACUCUCGCAAUAUCGGGACCUCAUCAACUGACCUCGGGCUCUCUGAAUCAACCCUCGUAUCGAUCACAUACGCCACAAACCCACUACAGCCCUGCUGUAGAAUCUGCCUCGCUCUAGCGGCUGAACAAAAUGCUGACCCAGGACGUGUACCCUCGCCGUACACCGUAAGAACUCCCCCACUAGGGUCUCGUAUGGUCACCAUCUGUCGCUCGCAGUCGAUAACUGCUCCAAAUUUGCUCAACCAGUCCAUGCCCACGAUGACACAGACAUCACCGAUUGCAAUAGGAACUAAAUCAAUCGGAAACUCAACGCUGAAAAUCUCGAGUAUACACCCUCGGAUCACCUCUAUGGCAUACACCGCCCUCUCGUCAGCUAUGGAAACUCUCAGAAGAUGACUCAACGCCUCUCGACUAAUACUGAUGUGCUGACUAAAAGCCAAAGAUACAAAAGACCGACUCGCACCUGAGUCAAAUAACACCAAGGCAGGUAUAGAACUCACAAGAAAAGUACCUACGGAAAACAUAAUAUAAACACAAUAUCUCAAACUCAAAGUAAAUACAUGAAAAGAAUACAUACCAGCCAUGACAUCGGGCGUUGCGCGGACCUCCUCCGCGGUCAACUGGAAGGCUCUCCCUCGUGCCUUCGGUGCCUCGGUCUUCAUCGGCCGACUCUCAGUAGCUCUGAUAGCAGCAGGGGCAGAUCCCUAAGGUGCUCCCUGUGCUGACCCCCGCAGCUGCGGACACUCUGUCUUCCGGUGUCCAGUCUGGUUGCAGUGGAAACAAACUGCGAACCCCUUGGGGAAAUCCUUGGCCAUAUGCCCCUCCUUACCACACUUGUAGCAAGGCCCCGCUCUGCAAACUCUAUCAUGACCCUUUCCGCACUUGCCACAAGUGCGGCCCUUCUGGUUCCUUGAUCUCGGAUCGGCGGGCUUGGCUCGCUUGGCUGCCGGUUGAGACUGUGUCGGUCGUCGAUCCCUCCCCUGAGACUCCGCUUCCUCCCUAGCCUGAGUCUCCAGCUCUAUCUCCCUCUUCCGAGCAUUUUCCUGGAGUUCGGAAAAUGUCCGAUACGACGAGUUUGCCACGAAAUCUCGUAUAUCCCUCCUCAAAAUGCUGAGAUAUCAGCUCAUACAUGCCUGCUCGGAGGACACGUGCUCUGGGCAGAACAUCGCCCGCUCAUGGAACAUCCUCGUAAUCAUUGUAACAAACUCAGUACCCUGCUUGAGGGUCAGAAACUCAUGGGCCAAACGCUCCCUCUCCACCUGGGGAAUAUAUUCAUCUCGGAACAUAGCAGUGAACCUCUCCCAGGUUACUGCAGCAAGCUCAGCAGACGAAUAGUGCGCCGUCACAAACUUCCACCAGUCCUUCGCUCCCAAGCGAAGCUGGUUCAGCGCGAACCGAACCCUCAAAUGCUCUGGACAUGAGCACGUAAAGAAACACCCCUCGAUGUCUAAAAUCCACCUCAUCGCCGUAAUAGGAUCCUGCGUCCCGUCAAACUCUGGUGGUUUUGUGUUGCUGAACUCUCGAAAUAGCAACGCAUCACCACCCUGCGGUCUAGCCGCGACNGUAGUGGCCUCAGUAACAGUAGCAUCAGAAAGAGCAGCAUAUUGCUCAUCGAAAGUCUCUAUCAGCGUGGUCUUGAUAGACCCAAACAUCUCUGGUAUCUCUGCCCUGAUGGCCGCAGCCACCUCCUCAUGAAUGAUCCUACGGAUCUCCUUAUCACUAGUACUGUUGCUGCCUGGUGUGUGGCGUGUCCCUACCAUGAUGUCUCUCGAAUACAACAUAAGAAAUAUCAGGGACUCGUUCGAGUAUACUCGCACAUGAUAACUCCACCCUACAUGUUCCUUAGUACUCCAAGGAUUUUUACUUGGACUGUGUACUGAUCCGGUGUCUUCAGUAGUACGAGCUCAAUACUACUGCCUACACCGCAUCAGCAUCCACCCCAAGUCCUCUUCCCAGAGUACCAAGUCCCAAGUACUCUACUCUCUCUAAUCAUAUGCUACUCACUAGCAGAUCUCUCAUAAGCUCCUCACUACUAUCUAAUCACUCUCAAGCAUCCCUAGCAGCAAAACUCUUGUACUAAAGCAUCACAAAUCAGGCCACUCUAGUCCUAAUAAUAAUACUUAUUCUACUAUCGCAUGCAUAAUAUAACUCAUCAUACAUCAUAGCAUAACAUAUCUCAUAACACUUAUUGUAAGGGUAUUUUGGGAAAUCACCGUUCGGGCGCUGGCUGAUCGUACACACGGCUCUGCUCUGUUUGCCUCAAAACUUCUUUUACUCUUUAAAAACUAUUUUAUUAUCAAAAAAAUCCUCAAAUUCUCAGUUUGAGUUCAGAAACGCCCGAAGGUGCAUCCGAAUCCCUCAAAGCAAGGCUCUGAUACCAACUUGUAACACCGUAAAAUUUCAAACAAAUUUUCACAUUUUAAAAACAAUUUAUUCCAGAAUAUUAUAAAACUCAUUAUUUCAUGUAUCCAAACAUAAGUCAAAAUCCCAAGAUCAUAACAUAUAUAAAACUUCGCUUGUGUGUGUACCGAUCAUGUCGGCGCCUUCCCACAAUCCUCACUAGUACCUGAAACACAUAACACAAAACACUGUAAGCACGAAGCUUAGUGAGUUCCCCAAAAUACCACAUAUAACACAAAUUAUCCACUCGAGGCUAUAAUUUUGUGGGCCCUUGGGCCCUAACUCUGUGGACCCUCUAGUCCUAGCUCUGUGGACCUUCCGCUCCUAACUCUGAUAUACACACAACAUAAAUCACAUAGAAAUAAUGCAGUGCCACACAUCACAUAGAUAGCAUACAAUAACUCUGUCACAUAACUCUAGUUAUCACUCAAGGUAAAGUAUAGAGAGAAGACUCACCUCAGAUAUCUCGG